Molecule: ribosomal RNA, 266 nt
Filed under: Proteus mirabilis
Lineage: Bacteria; Pseudomonadati; Pseudomonadota; Gammaproteobacteria; Enterobacterales; Morganellaceae
Description: partial 23S ribosomal RNA
Rfam family: Bacterial large subunit ribosomal RNA
Source: RNAcentral
GCGAAAAGAACCCCGGCGAGGGGAGUGAAAAAGAACCUGAAACCGUGUACGUACAAGCAGUAGGAGCCUCUUUAUGGGGUGACUGCGUACCUUUUGUAUAAUGGGUCAGCGACUUAUAUUCUGUAGCAAGGUUAACCGUAUAGGGGAGCCGUAGGGAAACCGAGUCUUAACUGGGCGAAUGAGUUGCAGGGUAUAGACCCGAAACCCGGUGAUCUAUCCAUGGGCAGGUUGAAGGUUGGGUAACACUAACUGGAGGACCGAACCGA